CCAAAAAAAUAGUUUCACUACCACUUUUUUUGAGAGAUUAUCAUGAAGUAUAUCUGUAUUCAUUAGAGAAUAUCACAGAAAUUUAAAUUACUCUCUUGUAAAUUUAAUAUUAAUUUUUUGUCGUCAAAUACAUACAAGUUCAUUUAAAGUUUUUUUCAUAUAAUAAUAAAAUUGAUUUUUUAUUUACGUCAGUAACUGCAGGCUAAUAUGGACGAAUAAACCUCAACAUAAGUGUUUUGAGUGAAAAACUUUUAAAAUUAUCAAGUUUUUAUUAUAUUUUAGAGAGCACUGGUAAAAAUAACACAAUCUUCAAUAUAUCUCAAGUAAUUUUGUUAUACUCUCUUGUAUAUUAUUUCAAAAAUGGAUUAAAAUAUCCGCUUCAGUUGUACUACUGCAAGUACAAUGAUAACAUAUAAAAUGUAAUUUUCGAUAAGAAUAAUCUUAAUAUACUUGAUGUAAUUAUUCCAAAUAAAACCGCGUUAAAUCAUUUUAAAUUAUUUACAAUAGGAACAAAUAAUAAAUAGUUAAUACCUAAUAUUAGACUAUGUCAAUAUGACUAUAUAGUAUUUACUCAUAAAUUCAAUCAGAUGCGUUACUAACAUUUUAAACCAUGGUACAUUUUUACUUUAUAAAUAUCUGAUAUCCGAUGAGCAAAUACAUUAUUACUAUUCGAUGCUCGGUUGUACAUAUAUUUAAUACUAGAAUCAUAUCUAAUGUAGUAUACUUUUUUUCUAAAAUAAUGUACUUUUUUUUUCUUUUAACCGAAAGUUCACUGAUGAGUCAACUACAGUUGAACUGGUAUAUACUAAGGAGAUAGUCAGUGUAGUGGUUUCCCGUUAUCUUCAGUACUAGAUAGAGCUUGAAACGUUUUUAUAAUGUUAUGAUUAUAACGUAAGAACUACUAAAAAAUUAUUGGAAUCGUAAAACCUAAAUAAAAAAUUUUGUUUGGAAACAAUUCUCUUUACUGUUGUAAAGACUCGCGUAUGGUCACCCAUCCGUGAACCUAUAGAGACAGGCUUGACUUGAUAAUAGAGUUAGUGUAUCCACUGUAUCACACCAUAACCAUUGUUUUUGAAAAUUAUAUUAUUGUAGAGUAUUUUUAGGUAUGGAAAACGUUGUUAACAUUAAUAACCAUAAAAAAGAAAACGAUAAAAAAUUGAUGACAAAAAAGAUAAAAAAACGCUAUCAUAAAAUUUUAGUUCACAAAUCAAGCACGUAAGAACUUCGACAAUGAUGAUUGCAAUAUCCAUGUAACGAUAUCUAAAUCAAGUAAUGAACAGGCAAUUUACUCCUGUAAAAUUUCACUAGUAAAUAAACUACUAUAGCAAUAUAGAAACGGAUUUGUUCAUUUACUCUCCCCUCAAAAUCCUUGUAUAUAAUAGAUUUAUAUUGUUAUGUACUUCGUUAGUUAUGAUGAUUUUAAGAUUUAGACUGAAAGAAAAGCGCAGAUCAACCGAUGGGGUUUAAAUAUUUGGAUUUAAAAUAUUUAGAAAAUCCUUAAGAUUAAAAUCAAGUCAUAAAAAAACAGUAUUCACAGAAAACAAAAUCAUCAAAUUAUAAAAACAACAGAAUCAGCAAGUUAUAAUAACAGUAUGAGUGGGGUCAGUUAUUAUAUAAAGAUAACAUAAAUUAGAAACUGAGAUUGACAUUUUGACAGACUUUUUACAUCUAUCUUUUUACAGAUAUCAGAUGGCAUUAAAGUAAAUUAUUUAUUACGUUCUCUAUAAACAAAUUAUGCUGUUAAAAAGAGUGCCGGGAUUAUUUUUUCUUUAAUUUACAAUCUUACAAUUUUUAAUAAUGUGUCAAAAAUAACUUAUAAGUAUCACUUAAUACCACUACUUAGUUGUAAUAUAAAACGUGCUUCUUUUACUUUAUAUAAAAGCGUAACACUCUCCUACGGGAGCCAUAUAUUUGUAAAUGGAGUCCAAUCAUAAAAGUUAAUUACCAUAAUAUUAUAAUAUAUCAUAUAAAAUUAAUAGAAUUCAUUUUUUCGUAUUUCUAAAGAAAAAUGUUGAA
Daktulosphaira vitifoliae (grape phylloxera) is the source of this 2016-nucleotide long non-coding RNA. RefSeq lists it as uncharacterized. The record is from RefSeq and is a predicted model, not a curated record. The transcript is spliced from 4 exons. NCBI's taxonomy places the organism in Eukaryota, Metazoa, Arthropoda, Insecta, Hemiptera, Phylloxeridae.